AAGUCGAGCGGUAACAUUUCUAGCUUGCUAGAUGAUGACAAGCGGCGGACGGGUGAGUAAUGCUUGGGAACAUGCCUUGUGGUGGGGGACAACAGUUGGAAACGACUGCGAAUACCGCAUAAUGUCUACGGACCAAAGGGGGCUUCGGCUCUCGCCUUUAUAUUGGGCCAAGUGGGAUUAUCUAUUUGGUGAGGUAAUGGCUCACCAAGGCGACAAUCCCUAUCUGGUUUGAGAGGAUGAUCACCCACACUGGGACUGAGACACGGCCCACACUCCUACAGGAGGCAGCACUGGGGAAUAUUGCACAAUGGGCGCAAGCCUGAUGCACCCAUGCCCCGUGUGUGAAAAAAGCCUUCUGGUUGUAAAGCACUUUCUCUCACGAGGAAAGGUUAGUAUUUAAUACCUGCUAUCUGUGACGUUACUGACAGAAAAAACACCGGCUAACUCCCUGCCACCACCCGCGGUAAUACAGAGGGUGCGAGCGUUAAUCUCAAUUACUGGGCGUAAAGCGUACACACGCGGUUUGUUAAGCGAGAUGUGAAAGCCCCGGGCUCAACCUGGGAACUGCAUUUCUAACUGUCAAACUAUAGUGUGAUAUAGGGUGGUAGAAUUUCACGUGUAUCGGUGAAAUGCGUAUAGAUCUGAAAGAAUACCGAUGGCGAAAGCAGCCACCUGUGUCAACACUGACACUCAUGUACAAAAGCGUGUGGAGCACACACGAUUAGAUACCCUGGUAGUCCACGCCCUAUACGAUGUCUACUAGAAGCUC
This 769-nucleotide ribosomal RNA is filed under the name Pseudoalteromonas sp. Its description in RNAcentral is "bacterial SSU rRNA". It matches the Rfam family "Bacterial small subunit ribosomal RNA", at positions 59 to 825 of the family's 1533-position model. The record is from RNAcentral. Lineage: Bacteria; Pseudomonadati; Pseudomonadota; Gammaproteobacteria; Alteromonadales; Pseudoalteromonadaceae.